This 630-nucleotide ribosomal RNA is filed under the name Pseudomonas sp. EECC-451. Its description in RNAcentral is "bacterial SSU rRNA". It matches the Rfam family "Bacterial small subunit ribosomal RNA", at positions 57 to 681 of the family's 1533-position model. The record is from RNAcentral. Lineage: Bacteria; Pseudomonadati; Pseudomonadota; Gammaproteobacteria; Pseudomonadales; Pseudomonadaceae.
GCAGUCGAGCGGCAGCACGGGUACUUGUACCUGGUGGCGAGCGGCGGACGGGUGAGUAAUGCCUAGGAAUCUGCCUGGUAGUGGGGGAUAACGCUCGGAAACGGACGCUAAUACCGCAUACGUCCUACGGGAGAAAGCAGGGGACCUUCGGGCCUUGCGCUAUCAGAUGAGCCUAGGUCGGAUUAGCUAGUUGGUGAGGUAAUGGCUCACCAAGGCGACGAUCCGUAACUGGUCUGAGAGGAUGAUCAGUCACACUGGAACUGAGACACGGUCCAGACUCCUACGGGAGGCAGCAGUGGGGAAUAUUGGACAAUGGGCGAAAGCCUGAUCCAGCCAUGCCGCGUGUGUGAAGAAGGUCUUCGGAUUGUAAAGCACUUUAAGUUGGGAGGAAGGGCAGUUACCUAAUACGUGAUUGUUUUGACGUUACCGACAGAAUAAGCACCGGCUAACUCUGUGCCAGCAGCCGCGGUAAUACAGAGGGUGCAAGCGUUAAUCGGAAUUACUGGGCGUAAAGCGCGCGUAGGUGGUUUGUUAAGUUGGAUGUGAAAUCCCCGGGCUCAACCUGGGAACUGCAUCCAAAACUGGCAAGCUAGAGUAUGGUAGAGGGUGGUGGAAUUUCCUGUGUAGCGG